This 253-nucleotide ribosomal RNA is filed under the name uncultured bacterium. Its description in RNAcentral is "partial 16S ribosomal RNA". It matches the Rfam family "Bacterial small subunit ribosomal RNA", at positions 524 to 776 of the family's 1533-position model. The record is from RNAcentral.
UACGAAGGGGGCUAGCGUUGCUCGGAAUCACUGGGCGUAAAGGGCGCGUAGGCGGUUCGUUAAGUUGCUGGUGAAAUCCCGGGGCUCAACUCCGGGGCUGCCAGUAAGACUGGCGGGCUAGAGCACGGUAGAGGCAGAUGGAAUUCCCGGUGUAGCGGUGGAAUGCGUAGAUAUCGGGAAGAAUACCGGUGGCGAAGGCGUUCUGCUGGGCCGUUGCUGACGCUGAGGCGCGACAGCGUGGGGAGCAAACAGG